ACUCGAGCUGACUUCCUGCUUUGAGGCUAGGAAGAGACUGCUCGAUAGCCUUCCACAUAUUUCCCAAAAUUACUCUGAGCAGGGCCUAACCAAUACCAACAAUGACUGAUGGAAGGAUCUAUGGAAAUCUUCCACCCAGGAGAAGGACAUAGAGGAUCUCUUCUUCAAAUAUGGAAAAAUCCGGGAUAUCGAACUAAAGAAUAACAGGGGAACCAUCCCUUUUGCUUUUGUUCGCUUCGAUGAUUUUCUAUGGAAGGAAUGGAUAUGGAUUCGGAGACUCCAAGCUGCGUGUAGAAUACCCUCGCUCCUCUGGUGCCAAAUUUAGUGGCCCUAUGGGAGAAGGAGGUCCUAGGGGAGGUUUGGGCCCCCAACUCGGAGAUCUGAGUUCCGGGUGAUAGUGACUGGCUUGCCCCAAACCGGGAGCUGGCAGGAUCUGAAGACCAUGCGUGAGGCAGGGGAUGUUUGUUUUGCCGACGUGCAGCGAGAUGGUGAAGGAGUGGUGGAGUUUGUUCGUCGGGAGGACAUGGAAUACGCCCUGCAGACUGGACGGGACUGAGUUCCGUUCCCAUCAGGGGAGACGGCAAAUAUUCGUGUCCACGGAGAACGUGGCGCCAGUUACGGUCGCUCGCGGUCUCGCUCCAGAUCCCCCGCCUCACCACCUCCUUACCAAAGCAGACCCCUCCACAGCGCUACCAGUCACCCCCACGCCGCCUUGUGUCGCGCCAUAGCCCCCAGCAAGGCGACACCCAGUACCGUACCAUAGCCCGCCCCCACGCCACUAUCGAUAGACCAGCUGGCCAUUCACAAGAGGGCACUGAUGAUUAGGCGCAGUUUAAUUAUUAUUUUUAUCCCAGAUCUCAAAUAAUUGUCCCCCUUUUGCUUGCUAUGUACAUUCCUUUAUCAGUCACCC
This is an RNA transcript of Oncorhynchus keta (chum salmon), 910 nucleotides long. It is a transcript of the gene named serine/arginine-rich splicing factor 9-like, with no coding region annotated. The record is from RefSeq and is a predicted model, not a curated record. Lineage: Eukaryota; Metazoa; Chordata; Actinopteri; Salmoniformes; Salmonidae. The transcript has a single exon.